GACGAACGCUGGCGGCGUGCUUAACACAUGCAAGUCGAACGGAAAGGCCCUGCUUGCAGGGUACUCGAGUGGCGAACGGGUGAGUAACACGUGGGUGAUCUGCCCUGCACUUCGGGAUAAGCCUGGGAAACUGGGUCUAAUACCGGAUAUGACCUUCCAUGUAGUGUGGGGGGUGGAAAGAUUUAUCGGUGUGGGAUGAGCCCGCGGCCUAUCAGCUUGUUGGUGGGGUAAUGGCCUACCAAGGCGUCGACGGGUAGCCGGCCUGAGAGGGUGGACGGCCACAUUGGGACUGAGAUACGGCCCAGACUCCUACGGGAGGCAGCAGUGGGGAAUAUUGCACAAUGGGCGGAAGCCUGAUGCAGCGACGCCGCGUGGGGGAUGACGGCCUUCGGGUUGUAAACCUCUUUCGACAGGGACGAAGCUUCGGUGACGGUACCUGUAUAAGAAGCACCGGCCAACUACGUG
Molecule: ribosomal RNA, 465 nt
Filed under: uncultured bacterium
Lineage: Bacteria
Description: partial 16S ribosomal RNA
Rfam family: Bacterial small subunit ribosomal RNA
Source: RNAcentral